GAUAGCUGUGAUCUUGCCUGUGAUAGAAGAAGGAUUCCAGGGACAGCAUGACCAAAAGAGGACGACAGGAUGAAGAUGGUUGAAAGGAGUGAGAGUAUUCAGAGUUUCCAAGAGCCUGGGCCCAUCUCAAAAGAAGUUGGUCUCAACUUAGUGGAGAGGAUUGGACACUGUGAAACCCUAAUGAAUGGGCAGCAGAAACAGGUUUCUACUCCCCCAUGAAGAUCCUGUUUGGACCGUUCUAGUGGCUGAUGGCUUCAUGCUCCUAGGGAGGUGACACCCU
Long non-coding RNA from Ficedula albicollis (Collared flycatcher), 280 nucleotides. RefSeq lists it as uncharacterized. Lineage: Eukaryota; Metazoa; Chordata; Aves; Passeriformes; Muscicapidae. The transcript is spliced from 3 exons. The record is from RefSeq and is a predicted model, not a curated record.